RNAcentral lists this ribosomal RNA (254 nucleotides) under uncultured bacterium. RNAcentral's name for it is "partial 16S ribosomal RNA". It matches the Rfam family "Bacterial small subunit ribosomal RNA", at positions 524 to 776 of the family's 1533-position model. The record is from RNAcentral.
UACGGGGGGAGCAAGCGUUGUUCGGAUUUACUGGGCGUAAAGGGCGCGUAGGCGGUCGUGACAAGUCACUUGUGAAAUCUCCGGGCUUAACUCGGAAACUGCCAUUGAUACUAUCAGUCUUGAAUACCGUGGAGGUAAGCGGAAUAUGUCAUGUAGCGGUGAAAUGCUUAGAUAUGACAUAGAACACCAAUUGCGAAGGCAGCUUACUACCCGAAUAUUGACACUGAGGCACGAAAGCGUGGGGAUCAAACAGG